This is a small nucleolar RNA of Zootoca vivipara (common lizard), 97 nucleotides long. RefSeq annotates it as small nucleolar RNA SNORA13. The record is from RefSeq and is a predicted model, not a curated record. NCBI's taxonomy places the organism in Eukaryota, Metazoa, Chordata, Lepidosauria, Squamata, Lacertidae.
UGCCUUCAGUGUUGCCUGUUUGUUUUGGUUGCUAACGAACAUGGUGUCAGAGAAGGCAUAAAACAAAUCCCCCCACUUGCAGCUUCAGGUCAUAAAC